UACGUAGGGUCCGAGCGUUGUCCGGAUUUAUUGGGCGUAAAGAGCUCGUAGGCGGUUCCGUAAGUCAGAUGUGAAAACUCAGGGCUCAACCCGGAGACGCCAUCUGAUACUGCGGUGACUGGAGUCUGGUAGGGGAACACGGAAUUCCUGGUGUAGCGGUGAAAUGCGCAGAUAUCAGGAGGAACACCGAUGGCGAAGGCAGUGUUCUGGGCCAGUACUGACGCUGCGGAGCGAAAGCGUGGGGAGCAAACAGG
This 254-nucleotide ribosomal RNA is filed under the name uncultured bacterium. Its description in RNAcentral is "partial 16S ribosomal RNA". It matches the Rfam family "Bacterial small subunit ribosomal RNA", at positions 524 to 776 of the family's 1533-position model. The record is from RNAcentral.